This 29-nucleotide non-coding RNA is filed under the name Mus musculus (house mouse). The record is from RNAcentral. Lineage: Eukaryota; Metazoa; Chordata; Mammalia; Rodentia; Muridae.
UGAUCAGAAUGGUGUACAUAAAUGUCAGU